UACGUAGGGGGCAAGCGUUGUCCGGAAUCAUUGGGCGUAAAGAGCGUGUAGGCGGCCCGCUAAGUCGAACGUGAAAUCCCCGAGCUCAACUCGGGAACUGCGUCCGAUACUGGCGGGCUUGAAUCCGGGAGAGGGAUGCGGAAUUCCAGGUGUAGCGGUGAAAUGCGUAGAUAUCUGGAGGAACACCGGUGGCGAAGGCGGCAUCCUGGACCGGCAUUGACGCUGAGGCGCGAAAGCGUGGGGAGCAAACAGG
This 253-nucleotide ribosomal RNA is filed under the name uncultured bacterium. RNAcentral describes it as "partial 16S ribosomal RNA". It matches the Rfam family "Bacterial small subunit ribosomal RNA", at positions 524 to 776 of the family's 1533-position model. The record is from RNAcentral.